UACGUAGGGUGCAAGCGUUGUCCGGAAUUAUUGGGCGUAAAGAGCGUGUAGGCGGCCCGAUUAGUCCGCUGUGAAAGUCCAGGGCUCAACCCUGGAAUGCCGGUGGAUACUGUCGGGCUAGAGUCCGGAAGGGGCGAGUGGAAUUCCUGGUGUAGCGGUGAAAUGCGCAGAUAUCAGGAGGAACACCAAUGGCGAAGGCGGCUCUCUGGACCACAACUGACGCUGAGGCUCGAAAGCUAGGGGAGCAAACAGG
This 253-nucleotide ribosomal RNA is filed under the name uncultured bacterium. RNAcentral describes it as "partial 16S ribosomal RNA". It matches the Rfam family "Bacterial small subunit ribosomal RNA", at positions 524 to 776 of the family's 1533-position model. The record is from RNAcentral.